RNAcentral lists this RNase P RNA (146 nucleotides) under Pseudoalteromonas sp. RNAcentral's name for it is "partial RNase P RNA component class A". It matches the Rfam family "Bacterial RNase P class A", at positions 220 to 367 of the family's 367-position model. From Rfam's summary of the family: Ribonuclease P (RNase P) is a ubiquitous endoribonuclease, found in archaea, bacteria and eukarya as well as chloroplasts and mitochondria. Its best characterised activity is the generation of mature 5'-ends of tRNAs by cleaving the 5'-leader elements of precursor-tRNAs. Lineage: Bacteria; Pseudomonadati; Pseudomonadota; Gammaproteobacteria; Alteromonadales; Pseudoalteromonadaceae. The record is from RNAcentral.
GAGCAAGACCAAAUAGGGUUCCUUAUGGCGUGGCCCACGUUGGAACCGGGUAGGUUGCUUGAGCCAUAGAGCGAUUUAUGGCCUAGACGAAUGAUUAUCACUUUCUUCGGAAAGGACAGAACCCGGCUUACCGGCUGACUCACUCA